GCCACUGUGGCUUAGGGGCAAAGCGAUUCCUUGGUAAGGAAUAGAUCGCGGGUUCAAUUCCCGCCAGUGGCU
RNAcentral lists this transfer RNA (72 nucleotides) under Thermoplasmatota archaeon. Its description in RNAcentral is "Candidatus Thermoplasmatota archaeon tRNA-Thr". It matches the Rfam family "tRNA". From Rfam's summary of the family: Transfer RNA (tRNA) molecules are approximately 80 nucleotides in length. The record is from RNAcentral. RNAcentral also lists the same sequence under 1 other name. Lineage: Archaea; Methanobacteriati; Thermoplasmatota.